Chelonia mydas (Green sea turtle) is the source of this 157-nucleotide long non-coding RNA. RefSeq lists it as uncharacterized. The record is from RefSeq and is a predicted model, not a curated record. The transcript has 3 exons. Lineage: Eukaryota; Metazoa; Chordata; Testudines; Cheloniidae.
CUAACUUUUUAAAUCUAAAGCAGGGGUGGCCAACCUGAGCUUGAGAAGGAGUCAGAAUUUACCAGUGUACAUUGCCAAAGAGCCACAGUAAUAUGUCUGCAGCCCACCAUCAGCUCCCCCGCACCCCGCUCCCAGUGUCUUCCGCCCACCGGCAGCC